This is a long non-coding RNA of Penaeus chinensis, 678 nucleotides long. RefSeq lists it as uncharacterized. The transcript has 6 exons. The record is from RefSeq and is a predicted model, not a curated record. Lineage: Eukaryota; Metazoa; Arthropoda; Malacostraca; Decapoda; Penaeidae.
GACAGUUGUGUGUACUAAUUUUAGAAAGUUCUAUCGGUAACAUUUGAAAGUUUAAUUCGCUUUUACAUCCUUUUUUAAUUUUGUAAUGACCGUGUCUAAGAAUUUUAAGCCGGACGUCUGUUUCUAAGGAAACUUAAUUUUUAAAGUGCUUUUCUAAUAAGCGAAAUUAAAAGAAAACGCUGUAGUUAUCAGUAUCCCUUGCACCCCUGCUCCAACUUGUCUUCAUGGCAAUGAAUGGAGAAUAUAAAAGUGCAAAGACUAAGGCGAGUGAGUCGCUAUGCGGCCUGGGUUCGUACCUGGAAUCGCACGAAACUACUCUAUAAAACUUCAGUAUAAGUGAUGAUGGGAGAAAUAGGGUUAGCAGAGCUGUCUCUGUGCACUUCUAAGAAUGUAUUUUGGGAGCUAAGGAGUUUGAAAUCUUGACAGGAUGUAAGAUAAGGACGUUGUGCAACUUGGAUAGAUGAAUCCUCUUGGAGACGGAGUGCAAAAUCCAUAAUUGUAGAAAUGGACCAUACAGGCUAGAAGGAAAGGACUGCCAUACUUUUAGUGGGCCUGAAGUGAAUAGUUCAUGGAAAGGAGAAUGCUCAAAGCUGCAUGAGAUGUUGGAGGGAUCCCCUUGAGCUUUGCUGAACAAGACUUCAAAAUGUGAUUUGAAAAAAUAAAGCUAUUGAUAACUUU